RNAcentral lists this ribosomal RNA (301 nucleotides) under uncultured bacterium. Its description in RNAcentral is "partial 16S ribosomal RNA". It matches the Rfam family "Bacterial small subunit ribosomal RNA", at positions 509 to 807 of the family's 1533-position model. The record is from RNAcentral.
CAGUAGCCACGGUAAUACGAAGGGUGCAAGCGUUACUCGGAAUUACUGGGCGUAAAGCGUGCGUAGGUGGUGGUUUAAGUCCGUUGUGAAAGCCCUGGGCUCAACCUGGGAAUUGCAGUGGAUACUGGGUCACUAGAGUGUGGUAGAGGAUAGUGGAAUUUCCGGUGUAGCAGUGAAAUGCGUAGAGAUCGGAAGGAACAUCUGUGGCGAAGGCGACUAUCUGGGCCAACACUGACGCUGAGGCACGAAAGCGUGGGGAGCAAACAGGAUUAGAUACCCCCGUAGUCCCUGUCUCUUAUAC